GAUGAACGCUGGCGGCGUGCCUAAUACAUGCAAGUCGAGCGAACAGACGAGGAGCUUGCUCCUCUGACGUUAGCGGCGGACGGGUGAGUAACAAGUGGAUAACCUACCUAUAAGACUGGGAUAACUUCGGGAAACCGGAGCUAAUACCGGAUAAUAUAUUGAACCGCAUGGUUCAAUAGUGAAAGACGGUUUUGCUGUCACUUAUAGAUGGAUCCGCGCAGCAUUAGCUAGUUGGUAAGGUAACGGCUUACCAAGGCAACGAUGCGUAGCCGACCUGAGAGGGUGAGCGGCCAAACGGGAACUGAGACACGGCCCAGACUCCUACGGGAGGCAGCAGUAGGGAAUCUUCCGCAAUGGGGGAAAGCCUGACGGAGCAACGCCGCGUGAGUGAUGAAGGUCUUCGGAUCGGAAAACUCUGUUAUUAGUGAAGAACAAAUGUGUAAGUAACUAUGCACGUCUUGACGGUACCUAAUCAGAAAGCCACGGCUAACUACGUG
Molecule: ribosomal RNA, 497 nt
Filed under: uncultured bacterium
Lineage: Bacteria
Description: partial 16S ribosomal RNA
Rfam family: Bacterial small subunit ribosomal RNA
Source: RNAcentral